GGCUUGUUUUAAGUUGCCUG
This 20-nucleotide microRNA is filed under the name Salmo salar (Atlantic salmon). RNAcentral describes it as "ssa-miR-1788-5p". The record is from miRBase by way of RNAcentral. Lineage: Eukaryota; Metazoa; Chordata; Actinopteri; Salmoniformes; Salmonidae. RNAcentral also lists the same sequence under 1 other name.